This 497-nucleotide ribosomal RNA is filed under the name uncultured bacterium. Its description in RNAcentral is "partial 16S ribosomal RNA". It matches the Rfam family "Bacterial small subunit ribosomal RNA", at positions 28 to 507 of the family's 1533-position model. The record is from RNAcentral.
GAUGAACGCUGGCGGCGUGCCUAAUACAUGCAAGUCGAGCGAACAGACGAGGAGCUUGCUCCUCUGAUGUUAGCGGCGGACGGGUGAGUAACACGUGGAUAACCUACCUAUAAGACUGGGAUAACUUCGGGAAACCGGAGCUACUACCGGAUAACAUGUUGAACCGCAUGGUUCAACAGUGAAAGACGGUCUUGCUGUCACUUAUAGAUGGAUCCGCGCCGCAUUAGCUAGUUGGUAAGGUAACGGCUUACCAAGGCAACGAUGCGUAGCCGACCUGAGAGGGUGAUCGGCCACACUGGAACUGAGACACGGUCCAGACUCCUACGGGAGGCAGCAGUAGGGAAUCUUCCGCAAUGGGCGAAAGCCUGACGGAGCAACGCCGCGUGAGUGAAGAAGGUCUUCGGAUCGUAAAACUCUGUUAUUAGGGAAGAACAAAUGUGUAAGUAACUAUGCACGUCUUGACGGUACCUAAUCAGAAAGCCACGGCUAACUACGUG